GAUGAAGAACGCAGCGAAAUGCGAUACGUAGUGUAAAUUGCAGAAUUCAGUGAAUCAUCGAAUCUUUGAACGCACAUUGCACCUCUCGGUAUUCCGGGAGGUAUGCCUGUUCGAGCGUCAUUUGUACCCUCAAGCUCUGCUUGGUGUUGGGUGUUUGUUCCGCCUCUGUGUGUGAACUCGCCUCAAAACAAUUGGCAGCCGGCGUACUUGUUUCGGAGCGCAGCACAUUUUGCGAUCCAGAUCAACGUACAGCGGCAUCCAAGAAGCCUUAUUUAACGCUCUUGACCUCGGAUCAGGUAGGGAUACCCGCUGAACUUAAGCAUAUCAAUAAGCGGAGGA
This 339-nucleotide unclassified non-coding RNA is filed under the name soil metagenome. RNAcentral's name for it is "partial contains 5.8S ribosomal RNA, internal transcribed spacer 2, and large subunit ribosomal RNA". The stretch from base 1 to 120 matches the Rfam family "5.8S ribosomal RNA", at positions 35 to 154 of the family's 154-position model. The record is from RNAcentral.